UUAAUUAAAUAUUCUAUAUAAAACAAAAUCCAUAAAUAAAGUACAAAUUUAAUUUCCCAUAAUUGUCUGUGGGAUAGUAUAACAUUUUACAAUAUAGUGCAGUAUGCAUGCAAUAGUCAAUUUAUAUUAAAAAACUUUCAAUGGCAAAAAAUAUAAUAAUAAUAAGAGAAAAUAAAAGAACAUAAUUAAAAGUAAUUAUCUUUCUCACCUCUAAGACCCCUAAAUUGUUCAAUCUUCCCAAAACACCAUUGUUAUUAUUUUGUUAUUUUCUAUAUAUUUCCUAUGCUUUUAUAAUCAUAUGAAUGUUACUUUUAGUUUUUAUUUCACUUUGAGUAUUAUCAAAUCCAUUCCCUAAGUAACUGACUUCCUUUUCAGUAAUAUCUAUUCUCAUUUAUACUGUAGCUAUUUUUUAAUUUUCUAAAUAAUUUUACUUUUCCUUUCAUUCCUGAGAUAUUCCAACUCCAUCCUUCUAUUGUCUCAUUGUGUCUUCUUUGAAGCCAAUUAACUGUCAUUCAAACUUCUUUUUAUGUAGAAAGAAGCUAUGUAGGCUAUGUUGUCUGUAAUUGAUUUUAAAGCAGUUGUCUCUCUCAGUAAUUUUUUCUGUUUGGUAUUCUUUGCAGUGUUUUUAUAUUAAUGCAUUAAUUUUAUAAUUUUGCUUAUAUUUUUUGUAAUUCUUUUGCAUAUAUUAUAUGCUGUAUCUUUCUAAUUAUUACUAAUCUUGGAAUGUCAGAUAUUUUUUUCUGGGCCAGAAUGCUACUAAACAAUAAAUGGUAUUUCAGUCUGAGCCCGGUUAUUGCACUGGAAAAGCAGGCCUAUGGAAUUCAGGUCAGUUACACAAACUGACUAACACUCUACUCUUGGUAUAUCUCUGCUCAGCAGUAGCAGAAGAUAUUUUUGACUCACAGCAGAACCCUAUAUGUCACAUGUCCUUUACUAGUGUUUUACUUCUCUUUAGAUGACAGAGAGUAUAAGUUUUAGAAAUAAUAUUCACUUACUGUGUUCCUCCACCCUAGCACAGUGACAAGAGCCUCAGGCAAAGAUAAUGUGUCCAUGAUUCUUCAUCUACCUCCACUUCACUUGUCACUCUGUGGUGUCAUCUAGGCACAGGGACUUUUUGUAGCCUUUCUGUGACAACUGGCCUUAUUUCUCCAAAGAAGGUAUCACUGGAUUACCCCUUUUCUGGCCCAGAGCAUGCCUCCUAAUUUGGGAGUAUUCUGUGUCCUGUUAGAGAUCUGAAAUGGCUUAAAUCUUGAGUAGCAUGGACAAUUUGGCCAUUAUUUCAGUAUACUUUGCAGUAGUUCUUUCAUAGUUACAUUAAAAAUAAACCUUAUUUCUCUGUUCUUACUUGCUUUUAUUCCACUGAUUUCUGAGCAGAAAAUAACAGAGGUAGUGGUGACCUUAAACAUCAACUUCUAACCAGAAAACUUCAUGCUGAGUUUAUUAAAGCUUCCAUCAACUGCCUUGCCAUUAUAAAGGAAACAGUAGGUUAUUUAUUUUCUGAAUUUUUUACUUUAAAAAAUUCUUUAGAAAUAUCUUUCAUUGCAUAGAUAGAAAAAUUCUUAUUUGGAGGAUUUCUAAAAUAACAAAUUGAUGAACAUGUUAAAUUAAACAUGGACAUUUAUGUUUGUAAUAAUAUAGUUUUUUUCUGUGAUGAACCCAAUGAUGGGGACGUAGACUGAAUUUUUUUUUUUUUUUGUCUUUUGUCUUUUUAGGGGACUGUUGUGGCAUAUGGAGGUUCCCAGGAUAGGGGUCGAAUUGGAGCUGUAGCUACCAGCCUAAGCCACAGCCACAGCUAUGCCAUAUCUGAGCUAUGUCUGUGAACUAUACCACAGAUCAUGGCAACGCCAGAUCCUUAACCCACAGAGCGAGGCCAGGGAUUGAACACAUGUUGAUGAGUAUUUUGAUUUUCUUUUAAAAGGAAGGAGUUUGGCAUAUAUUUUAUAUAAUUUAUAAUGAUUUUGAUCAAGUCAGAGGCCAUUAAAUUUGUUUUUGUCUUUAAAUUCUGUAUUUUAUCAGUAACUUGCACUGGAAUAUUCUUUUCCAUUUUAGAGUUGUCUUUGGAGGAAAUUUAGUCAUAUUUCUUUGUCUUCUUAUUUUAUCUUCUUAGUAAAUUAAGUACUUCCCACUAGAUUCUACCUUCUACUUAGAAAUCUUGCUUUCUUCUUCCCAUAUCCGAGUUCUUUCUAAUAUCACUUAAUGCAUUCCAAGCAUUACAACUACUUUUUUUAUCACAUCUGAAGUUCCAUAAAAGAAUUUGCACAUAUAAGAAUGCAUGUGCACUCCAAUCCCUCUUGUGCAGCAGACACAUUUUAUUUUGCAGGCAUGUUUUGAAUAUAGGAAAAUGUUAAUCCUAAGAAUAUUACAUUUAGAAAGCUCAAGGCAACCACGGGGAAAUUUUCUUAAAGCUGUUCAUUACAAACCUAAGCAUACUUCUGGUUCCCCUAUCAUUCAGACAAUGAGGGGACAUUUUAUAUUAACAUUAGGCAGAUGUUUUGCUCACUUUUAAAUGGUUAUUGUUUUGAAGACUACAUUAUAGAAUGCCUUUAAAACCCAAUAAUAAGGGAUGGUUUUGAAGACAGAGUAAAAUUUUAUUUUUGAAUUAUGAUUUACCAUGUAACUAUUAAACAUUAACCUAUAAGCAAACAAUUUUGUUAGUCAUAAAGUAGUCUUUCUAUUACACCAAUAAGAUAAAAAUUUGAAUAACACAGCAUAUAUAUAUAUAUAUAUCUACAUAUACACAUACACACACACAAAUAAAAAUGUAGAAAGAGAUAAAAAAAAUCUCAGAGUUGAAUUCACUUUGCAAUCAGGAAAUUAAGCCUGUGGAUUUUAUCUUUAAAUAAUUAGGUUUAGCAACUAUAUGCUAUUAAAAACCAGUGUCUAGAUGCCUACUUAAAAUUUACUGUGAAAUAUCAUUUGCCAACAAAGCAGAUUUGAAAAGUGUAUUUUGGAAGUUUCUAGUUAUUUAUGUUAAGGGUGUGUGUGAAAUAUUUUUAAUAAGGAUAUUAAGAAGUAACAUAACUUCAUUUUGUUUAAAUAUAGAAAGCCAGAGAAUGAAUUUUUAUAUAAAUGUUUAUAGUUAUAUAAUUCAUUUAUGGAAGGAAAGUCAUAGGCAAGAAGGAAUAGAUAGAUGAUGAUAAAACAUAAGAUGUGUCAGCUGGGCUGCAUGGUUCACUUGUAGGUAGUUGGGAUGCUCCAGUAUGGAGCAAAGGGCAGAAGGGAGCCUUCUCAACAGUAGUAACGGGCUAGAAAUCAGCCAGAACUCCAGAGCACUAUGUCCAAGAAAGCUGGCAACAUCUGGUGAUUAUUUGGGUGGAUAAUUAAUGCUAGGAUUGAAGGGAAAGAAGAAGUAACUCAUGCAGAACUUCUUCUAUCUUUGAUUUGACACUGUUUACACGUAUAAAGUGAUCUUGUUCAUACUUGGAGUUUGGAAGGCCCAGAAAGAGAAUAGCAUAUAAUUCAUUGAAGUAAUAUUAAUAUAUUACUGAAAUAAAAUAUUAGUAUAUUAUAACAUACUAAUUUUAUAUAUGUAAUAUAUUCACUAAUAUAUUAGUGACAUUUAAAAAUGAAAUUGAAUAGAUAAAACUAACAUGAACUUGAUGAAGUAGGAUGUUACUCUAGAAUGAAAUUCUGACUAAUUUAACUUUAAAACGACAUACUUCAAAGAGCACUUGACUUUUUAAGGACUAAAUGCUCAUCUUUUCUAAGUCCAAGUCAAUGUUUAUGAUGCUAGAAUGGGAGUGGACCCCCCAGUCUGUCUGAGAUUGUAGUAAUAUGUAAAUAUAGUUCCCCAUGAAUGACAUAUGAAAUAUACAAGAUAAUGAAUGUCAAGUUCAGCAGAAUGACCUAUCCUCAGAUCAUAUACUUGCCCACUGAAAUUAUUCCUGAGCUAGUCCUCGUAAGAAUUGUAUUAUUAAUUCCUAUAGCUAAUAAUGUACUAAGGGAGAGACAUUUUUCACUCUUAUUUCAUCAUUUU
Molecule: long non-coding RNA, 3976 nt
Filed under: Sus scrofa (pig)
Lineage: Eukaryota; Metazoa; Chordata; Mammalia; Artiodactyla; Suidae
Description: lncRNA (ENSSSCG00000061563.1)
Source: RNAcentral